GUGUAGGGUCUAGGGUUUUAACUUUAAAUUUUAUGAGAAAAAAAAUACAAGAGUGAGUCUUGUUCAAUCUCUCACACUAUCACCUCUUUAUAAAGCUUCAUCUUUUGAUCUGAAAGAGUUCAGAAGAUCUAAAGAAAAGAGCUUGGAUCAGCCAUCUAGAGCCUUCGAUGCAAGCUAGCACUCCCACGAAGGAAGAUCCGAUUAGGACUUUGAGUGGACGAUCUGUAGAGAUCGGAUGAUCUAUAUGAUUGUUCGA
This 256-nucleotide long non-coding RNA is filed under the name Elaeis guineensis (African oil palm). RNAcentral describes it as "long non-coding RNA (EGUI_LNC046032)". Lineage: Eukaryota; Viridiplantae; Streptophyta; Magnoliopsida; Arecales; Arecaceae. The record is from RNAcentral.